This is a long non-coding RNA of Camelina sativa (false flax), 566 nucleotides long. RefSeq lists it as uncharacterized. The record is from RefSeq and is a predicted model, not a curated record. NCBI's taxonomy places the organism in Eukaryota, Viridiplantae, Streptophyta, Magnoliopsida, Brassicales, Brassicaceae.
AUAGAUAUAAUACAAUGGGCAAAAAUCAUCUUUGUUUUUCCUUCUCUUCUCUUCAUCAUAUCUAGUAAAUCAAUUUUGUUUGUUUCCUUUCUUCUUUCUCUCCUCCUUUCUUUUCUCUAGGUUUAUCCCCCUUCUCCUCUUCGUCAAGUGAAAUCGAGAAACUCGAAAAAUCAAAUCGUUACAAAAAACUCAGAUGAUACUAAAGUCUUCAUGGGCAGAGCCAAACGCUGCCUCUAGCCGAUUACCAUAUAAAGUACGGCAACUGCGUCGGUGAAGAUGGUGAAAACAGAAACAAAUUUCAUCGGUAGAUCUGAAGAAUCAGUAUCAAGAACGACGACAUAGGUGAUACUGGAAAUGGAGGACAACCGUUACAUCUCAAAUUCUCCAGCGUCGCAUCACCGACACUCUAGUCGUCGUAUCUACGUCUCCGGCCACUACCAGCCACUACCACCGUUUUGUUCUCCAUCGCUCCGGUCGUUGAUGCUAAUAUAUAGAUAUAGUCAGAUAAAUAUAUGCAUUGUAUUUUCGGUUUGUAAUGAUAAUUACAAAUAAAAUUAUUUUUGAUU